Molecule: ribosomal RNA, 395 nt
Filed under: uncultured bacterium
Lineage: Bacteria
Description: bacterial SSU rRNA
Rfam family: Bacterial small subunit ribosomal RNA
Source: RNAcentral
GUGCCAGCAGCCGCGGUAAUACAGAGGGGGCCAGCGUUAUUCGGAAUUAUUGGGCGUAAAGGGCGCGUAGGCGGCCACGCGUGUCUUCCGUGAAAUCCCUCGGCUCAACCGAGGACGUGCGGAAGAAACUGCGAGGCUCGAGUCCAGAAGAGGGGGGCGGAAUUCCCAGUGUAGCGGUGAAAUGCGUAGAUAUUGGGAGGAACACCGGUGGCGAAGGCGGCCCCCUGGGCUGGUACUGACGCUGAUGCGCGAAAGCGUGGGUAGCAAACGGGAUUAGAUACCCCGGUAGUCCACGCCGUAAACGAUGGGCACUUGGUGUCGCGGGUAUCGACCCCUGCGGUGCCGAAGCUAACGCAUUAAGUGCCCCGCCUGGGGAGUACGGUCGCAAGGCUGAA